AUGGAACUCAAUAUUUAUGGGCUAAAUAGUGCAAUUGUAUUAGGUAUAUCUGCUUGUAUUGGUGGAUUAAAUAUUUGGUUAUACGUUUAUGCAUAAACCAAUUGUAUUCUUAAGAAAUUAAAGAAGGCUUUAAACGAUAUUAAUAUAUAUGAUGUUGGUUAAUGCUUAAGAUUAAAAAUCAUUAAAUAUCAUUUUUCCAAUCAUGUAGUUUAGUUCAUUCUUUAUUAAUUUUAAUUCAUUUUUAUUAAUAUCUUUUAACGUUAGAAAUUUGAUUAAAUAUUAUUACUUUAAACGAUCUUUAAUAUCCAUUUAAUUACAAUCUUAAAUGAUAUGGAGUUAUAAACAUGGAUAGUCACAAUAAUACUAUUUUUUUUUAUAGAAAAUUAGGUGAUUUACAAUUUAAUUUAAGAGAUGAUGAUUUUAAAAUUGGAAUACGAAAUUAUAGACAAAUUAUAUCUCUUAUAGUUUAUACUGUUUAGGUAAUAUGUUAUGUAUGCAUUGAUCGUAUUUCAUAAUAACGUUUGAUGGAGAUGAAUUUGUAGUAUACAAUAGUUGACAUAUUAUUAUACUAUGAAAAAGUCUGUUUAGUAUUUAAUAUGUUCAUGUACAUUCACUUCUGAUGUGUAAUACUUGUAUUUGACAUAUAAAUUUUAAUCUGAUUGUUCGUAACAAUUUAACUAGAAAUACCAUAUGAUAAGUGUAUGUUUAUAGUGUUCUUAUUUGAUAUAUAAGAAUAAGAAAUUUGAUACUUUAUAUGACAUUACAUGACAUGUUAUCAUAUAAUUUUUAAUCUGUUUGUUUGAUGACAAAUUAUAGCUAUAUUUUAGUAGUAAAAAAAAUCAUAUAUUGAUUUACUCAUCUUUCUUUAUAAAUGUUAUCUUACUAUUAAUCAAGAUGUAUGAUUUUAUUGUAGCUUUAAUCAUAUAUCAACUUUGUCCUUUAUGGAAUACCACUAAUUUGAAAACUAACACACACAAUAAAUUAGAGCAUGACCUAUAAUAAUAGGCUUAUCACUAUUGCAAUUUAUGUGUCUUUUAUAUGCUUUGAUUUUUUUAGAUGAU
This 1061-nucleotide long non-coding RNA is filed under the name Helianthus annuus (common sunflower). Its description in RNAcentral is "hypothetical non coding rna". Lineage: Eukaryota; Viridiplantae; Streptophyta; Magnoliopsida; Asterales; Asteraceae. The record is from RNAcentral.